This 67-nucleotide transfer RNA is filed under the name Sphinx ligustri. RNAcentral's name for it is "tRNA-Leu". The record is from RNAcentral. Lineage: Eukaryota; Metazoa; Arthropoda; Insecta; Lepidoptera; Sphingidae.
ACUAUUUUGGCAGAAAAGUGUGAUGAUUUUAGAAUUCAUUAAUAUAUAAUUUAUUAUAUAUAUAGUA